Molecule: long non-coding RNA, 2414 nt
Organism: Salvia splendens (bonfire salvia)
Lineage: Eukaryota; Viridiplantae; Streptophyta; Magnoliopsida; Lamiales; Lamiaceae
Exons: 4
Source: RefSeq, a predicted model, not a curated record
UAUUCAUCCCCUUGCCUUCUCCUUUUAGUUUUCUCCCUUUCUAAAAAAUUCUGAUUCUCCGAUUCUAAUCUGAGCUUUGCUAAUGUUCGAUUGAUUGUUUCCCUUCAUGCGAUUACCUCCAACACAGUCUCUGCUUCUAUCGCUUCCCGCCCAAAACGCCAUAAAUCGACAACCCUAAUUCCAAUUUUACAGAUAAUGCAGAGGCGGAGUCGAAGAAAUCGAAGAGAGCUCCAGUGGAAUUAGUCAAGUAUCGUGGUCUUUCCUUACUACUCCAAAGUCCAUCGGCCAUGAGAUGAGUAAUACUAUAAUGUAUCUGCAAUGGUCUUUAUAUCUAACUCUGCAAUUCCAGUGUAUAUCUAUGAUUUAAUAAAGUGUUAUAUGCUUAUGCUCGUUUGUCUUGUUUUUAGCUAGGAUGUAACAUCGUAUAUGGAAUUUCCAGGAUGCUAUAAUGAGAUAGGUGAAUGAACAAACAAAUUUAGUUGUGUGGGAACACCGUGCAUCACUAGCUAUCUCCAAUCUCUUUCUUGAUGAGCUUCCUUUGUUGCAAACAAGAGGUGGUAUACUUCUUUGUGGCCCUCCAGGAGUGGGGAAGACAUUAUUAGCAAAAGCUGUUGCUGGUGAGGCAGGUGUAAACUUCUUCUCCAUAUCUGCAUCUCAGUUUGUCGAAAUAUAUGUGGGAGUUGCGCUUCUCGCGUACGAGCACUCUAUCAAGAAGCAAGGGACAAUGUGAGAUUUCAAUUCCUUUUAUCUGAUUGUGGUGAUUGUUGGGCCUCUUUGGAUCAAGCAAAUAGGUUUACUACUCAGAACGUGGAAUGCUUUUGAUACUCGAUUCCUAAAUUCUAAUAUUUUGUUAUGAUUCCACCUUUUAGUUAGCUUUUGGGAGGAGUUCCAUUCUUGAGUGCCUUAUGAUUUCUUAUAGGUUUGACCGGAGACCGUACAUAUUUACUCUCGUUGCUCAUUAAUUCUAAUAGUUGCUCCUUUUUGUCCAUGAGAUUUUGACUGCAUUUGUUCUUCAAAGACCAUGCAUUGUUGUUUUCUUACUUUCACAGAGCUUAUAUUUGUGGAAGUGAUGUGAUGUGCGUGAGUCAAGCAUUUGCAGGCUCCAUCUGUUGUUUUCAUCGAUGAACUGGAUGUUGAUGGAAGUGCACAUGGUUUGAUUAAGUGGUCUGGUGGGCAAGAACGUGAUGCUACUUUAAAUCCGGUCUCUUGCACAUAUUUGAUUGCUUAUAAUUUUGAUGUGACACAAUAAUGGUCUGAUUCGACUGUAAUAUAAAAUACCUUAUCGAUCCUCUAGCUUCUUGUGUGCCUGGAUGGGUUCGAAGGCAGAGGAGAAGUCAUUACCAUUGCUUCUACAAACAGGCCAGACAUUUUGGAUGCAUCACUUGUGAGACCAGGGAGGUUCAACCGGAAAAUACACAUACCCAAGCCUGGACUGGUUGGCCGUGUUGAAAUUCUGAAGAUGCGGUUUGUUGCCUUCCAUCAGCAGUACUUUCAAUUGGUCUACGCGGUCUCAUUGUUUGGUUUCAGGUUCAUGCUAGGAAGAAAGCAAUGGCCCCUGACGUGGACUAUUUGGCUGCUGCGACUAUGACUGAUGGAGUGGUUGGUGCUGAGCUGUCCAACAUUAUCGAGGUUGCUGCUAUCAACAUGAUGCGCGAUGAAAGAACAGAGAUUACUAAUGAUGAUUUGUUACAAGAGCUGCACAAAUAGAAGAAAGAGGAAUGCUUGAUAAUAGAGAGAACAGCCCCGAGAUCUGGAAGCAAGUAGCUAUAAAUGAAGCUGAAAUGGCCAUAGUUGCUGUCAAUUUCCCGCAAGUAGCUAUAAAUGAAGCUGAAAUGGCCAUAGUUGCUGUCAAUUUCCCGGAUCAUAGAUAUAUCUAUCGAGUUUUUAUGUUCUGGUCUUUCAGUUUCAGUUGCUUCCUUAUGCUCCCUUCUAUUUUAACCUAGAAGCAUUUUAUUAGAGUUCUGUUAAUCAAAUGGGAAAUUCUAAAGUAUUGUCGUUUAUUUUUCGUGUCAGGUGACGAUAUCUCGAAGAGCUGGAAUGGAUUUAGGAUACGUCCGCCCCCUCUGUAUUCCUGGGGAUCUUCAAUUAAAGACUUUUAAAACAACUUUAAACAUUGGUUCCAAUGUUUUACGCAAAAAAACAUGUUUCUUCACCCCGGGACUCCCAGCAGCCAGGAACAGAGGUAUGGGCUUAUAUUCUCAAUUGGUAACGCACAAUUUUUCUGAUUGAAGACCGAGCUUCGUCCCUAGAAUGCAAACGAGCAGCUCCGUCCUGAGUUUGUUCUUGAAUCCGGCCAACACUUUAUUUUCUCAAUUGUGUUUUAGCAAUUCCUCUUUUGGUUUGAAUCAGUACUCUAAUUGGGCCAUACAUAAUAUUUUAUUGGUAGGUAUGAUAAUCUUUGGUUAAUUAUGUAA